This 354-nucleotide ribosomal RNA is filed under the name uncultured bacterium. Its description in RNAcentral is "bacterial LSU rRNA". It matches the Rfam family "Bacterial large subunit ribosomal RNA", at positions 115 to 476 of the family's 2925-position model. The record is from RNAcentral.
UGAAUGGGGCAACCCACUAUAUUGAAGAUAUAGUAUUCUGAACUUGUUUCAGGAGGCAAACCCAGGGAACUGAAACAUCUAAGUACCUGGAGGAGAAGAAAACAAAAGUGAUUCCGUUAGUAGUGGCGAGCGAACGCGGAAUAGCCCAAACCAGUGUUGUUACGGCAAUACUGGGGUUGUAGGACUGCGACAUUGUAUGAUUCAUGAAUUAGAACUGUUUGGAAAGACAGACCACAGAGGGUGAUAGUCCCGUAUAGGUAAGUGAAUUAAUACAUAGCAGUAUCCUGAGUAGCGCGGGACACGUGUAAUCCUGUGUGAAUUUGGCGGGACCAUCCGCUAAGGCUAAAUACUCCG